Long non-coding RNA from Nilaparvata lugens (brown planthopper), 3704 nucleotides. RefSeq lists it as uncharacterized. The transcript is spliced from 2 exons. NCBI's taxonomy places the organism in Eukaryota, Metazoa, Arthropoda, Insecta, Hemiptera, Delphacidae. The record is from RefSeq and is a predicted model, not a curated record.
UGGAGAACAACCACCAUGCGAGAGAGAGAAAGAAGAAGGUCUGAAACAGUGCAUUCCUUCUACAGGAAGGUAAAUGAGAUCGCUUGUUAGUGAUUCAUGAUUCCUGCAAUUGUCAAUUGAUUUUGAUGUGGGCUCGCUAGCGGCUGCCAUAGCACUGUCGCGAAGCUCAGCCGCGCUGCGAGCGAUCGCUGCGUUUGACGCCAGUCGCAGCGGUGAGAGUCGCGGCGCUACACGACCCUACGUAUGUGAGCGAUGUGGCCGUCACUAUGCCGUCUCCUAUACGCUGGACCGACACAGGAAGUACGAGUGCGGCGUCGUCAAGCAGUUCUUCUGUCGCAAGUGCUUCAGGCCGUUCAGUCGCGCCGACUCGAUGCGUGUCCAUAUGCGAAAUUGUCACGCCAAGGAAACGACGCCUUCGCUCUCGCCUUCCACUAGCCAAACCGCGCGACGUGACGAUUAUCUUUGAAUUAGGCUCUAUUUUCAUAAAUAUUACUGUAAUCAAUUAAUUGUUAGUCAUCGAAACUGUUAUUUCAUUGUUAUAUCUUUAAUUAGGCUCUAUUUUUAUGUGUGGAAAUCAAUAAGUCAAAUAGUGAUGUUUUAUCGUAUAACGAAAUUGUUGUUAUAUUGGUUUGUUAUUUAUGUCUCUUCUCUUUGAAUCGUAGUCUUUCCAGUAAUUGAUUAAACAUAUUUCGAAUUAUAAAACCAGAUUCUUAACUGAAAUAGUUGAUUAUAUAUAAUUUCUACAUGCAAAAAUGGAACCUAAACUCUGUAUAAAAGAAGUAGAGACUUGUGCUUCCAUUCGGUCAAAUAUCGUCGAUUUGAGACUUUCUGAUGCAAGAUUAUAGAGUUAAUACUAUAUUCAAUGUGACAACAUAGACGAUACAGUGUUGUCAUAUUGGUUGUAUUCAAUCUGAUUGCAUCAAAUCGUGACUUUCGGAUGCAAGCCUGUAGGACUGAAUGAAUUCAAUGUGACAACACCGUCGAUGCAGCAUUGUCACAUUGACUAUAUUCAGUCUCUUAUGUUUGUAUGAGAAAGUCGCGAUUUCAAACAAUCAGUGAAAGUCGAUAUUUGACUAACUGGAAGCUCAAGUCUCAAUUUAUUCUUCAGAGUACAGGCUCUAUUUUUUCAAGUGUUGAAAUGAUGUAUAAUCAAUUACAAAAAUUGUUUAAUUAAGAUUUUGUUUUUGAGUUGAGAUUUGUUUAAUCAAUUGCAUAUUAAAUUAGAAUUAAUGAAUCUUUAGUGUUGGAAUAGUAUGUUGAAGGAUCAUUUUCUUGAGGUGGCUCCACAUUCAAUGGAAAAUUCGUAGUCUUCCGGCAUCGAGAAAAUGUGAACGGGUGGAUGGAGAAAUGUGUGGAGGUUUCACAGAUUUCUUCUUCCACACUUUGAAGUUUUCCUUGAGAUCGGACGCCUUGUGCAGACAUUCUGUUGCCUGUUGAACCACCUCAAGAAACUACUCUUUCAAUAGUUCCCAUGCAAAAGUUCUAUCAAUUCUAGUAUAGACAUAUUUUUUGUCAUGUAAUGAAUAUAUUAUCGUAUUGAUUUGUUAUUAAUAUUAUUUAUCAUAAAUACUGUAGUUCAUUUGGUAUGAAAGGACUUAAUGUGUAGUAGUGAAGGUGGUAUUGCGGUAUAUAUUGAAUAAGAUUCGCAAUUGACACAACAAUUUAUUUAUUAAGUAACGAGAAACUAGUUUCAUUUCUUACACACGUAUUGAUCUCUUAUAACUAGUUCUCUAAUUUUACUAGAGAUCUACGAGUAGUCUAGAGAGAUUGAUACUAGUGUAACAAUUGAAAUCAUUUUCUCAUUUUCGUUAUAAACAAGUGGUUUGUGACAAUUGGUAGGUUUUCUAUGUAAUUAUUCAAUAUGAAAUCUGUCACAUUAUCAUCUUUACUACUACCCAGAAGAGAAUCAGUUAAACUACAGGGAGUAAACAUAUCACAAAAACGAAUUAUUGAUUAAUAUAACUAAUUAUUCUACAACGAAAAUUAUUGCCUUCUAAAAAUUUGUAUUAGUCAAGAAUUUAUUCUAUGGCUGGAAGCUCUAGAAAUUCCUGUUCACUCCUCAAAUUAAUUUUAAUAUAAUGUAUUUUUAUAUUACUAUUAAAUUUUGGAGGUUUCAGUAGGUUUCCUAGAUUCUUUCAGUCAAAUGUUUAUCAACCUGGUUUUUUAGUCAUAAUUAUUAGCCUUAUUGGCUUUGGAAUAGCCUUGCCAAAGAUUAGAAUAGUUUAGUUUAAGUUAAUGACAGCCUGAUUAGCGUUAAGUGUUCAAUUCAAGUUCCCAUAAAAAUAUGUUAAGGUGCGUACAGAUAUAUGCGCCGCGAACAUGAGCAAUUCACUUUUAAUCAGCUGACUAUAUCUGUAUUUUUACAGAAACGGUAAAAGAUAUAGAUAUAAAAAGCUUGGCAUCAGCUGAUUAAAAGUGAAUUGAUCAUGUUCGCGGCGCGUAAAUCUGUACGCACCUUCAGACGCGUUAUUUCGAAUAAGUCACAUUUUGUCAAUGAUUUUCUUGUCAAACUAUAAUUUUACAUUUCAAUUAUUGUUGGAUAUUUUUUAUUCAAAUAAUAAUUUCCCUUCCCCUACAGUAUUGAACCAUAAGUCUUCCACUUCACCUUUCGCAGAAAAUUCAGUAUUCGAGAAUAUUAAUUUUCAUUUCUUGUAAAUCUUAUUUUAUUCAAGGAUUUCCCACUUUCACAUUAUAUUAUGGGAUCUUGAUGGUUUUGUUUUAGUUAUAAGUUUUGACAGCCUGUGUUAGAAUAUUGUAUUAAACUAGUAUUAUUGUUUUUAAAUUUUAUUAAAUUUGUUGGUGUUAAAAAUUUGAACUUUAUUGUAACGUAUUUGAACAUUCUAAGAAGAUUUACUAAUUUUCAUAGAUAUGAUAUAUUCUAUAGUUUUUUGCGUGUGAAUCUAUUGAAAAUCCUGAACUUGAAAAACAGUAUUAUUCAUGUACAGUAUUUUAUACAAAUUGAGAGUAUUUGAAACUAUAAAGUGACACUUCACUUAUACGAGUCUAUUAUUGUUGUGUUGUUGAUACGGUUGUUGAAUAUUCUCUGUCAUGUUGACAGAGAAAAUGUUUCGUUUAUGAAAAAUUGUACCGUUAAGUAUUUUUGUAAUUCAAUAAUUUGUAAUAGCAUUGCCUGAAUAAUUACUUCUUACCUUGUUGAUAACCUUUUAUCAACUUCUAAUAUUUUUGAAAUAAUUUUAUAUGAGUCGUCUACUAGUGUAAAAAUUAAAUGAAAGUAUUGACCAUUGAUUGUACAAGUAAUAUUUUAUUCUAAUAAUGUCAAAUAGUUCUAGUUUUUUGUAAUUCAUAGGUUUCACAUCAAUAUAAACCAUUUUAUUGUAUUAGCUCUAGUUGCAAAUUUGAGACUCAAAAUAUUCAUCAAGUGAUUUACUAAUUUAUUUUGCUCUGAUUUGGGUUUUCCAAAUUAUCUUGGUUUUCCCCAAGUCGUGAAGGUGAAUGCCGGAGCAUACCUGAUAUGUUAUCAGAUAUCCUGAUUUGUUAGAAAAUUGUAUCAAAGCUACUUCAAUUCAAAUUACUCCUCUGUUUAGAAGUUUGCUUAAUUUUCAACUAUUUCGAACGGUCAAAUUUUUGUUAUUUCGAUGUGAAAUUAAAUUUCUGAAAUAGAGCUGUGAAAUUGAAAGUUGAAAUGAUUUUUAUUGAAAUGUUUCAUGACUGAGAGGAAUAAAUCAAUUGUUAUUCAAAAAGUA